Molecule: microRNA, 22 nt
Filed under: Ptychodera flava
Lineage: Eukaryota; Metazoa; Hemichordata; Enteropneusta; Ptychoderidae
Description: Pfl-Mir-22-P2_5p* (star (passenger))
Source: RNAcentral
CACUUCACGCUGCAAGCUAUUG